RNAcentral lists this ribosomal RNA (324 nucleotides) under uncultured eukaryote. RNAcentral's name for it is "partial 18S ribosomal RNA". It matches the Rfam family "Eukaryotic small subunit ribosomal RNA", at positions 1470 to 1796 of the family's 1831-position model. The record is from RNAcentral.
CCCUUAGAUGCUCUGGGCCGCACGCGCGCUACACUGACCGAUGCAACGAGUUUCUUUCCUUGGCCGACAGGCCUGGGCAAUCUUUGAACAUCGGUCGUGAUGGGGAUAGAUUCUUGUAAUUUUUGAUCUUCAACGAGGAAUUCCUAGUAAACGCAAGUCAUCAGCUUGCAUUGAUUACGUCCCUGCCCUUUGUACACACCGCCCGUCGCACCUACCGAUUGAAUGGUCCGGUGAAAUCUCUGGACUGGCGCGAGUCCGAGCAAUCGGACAAGCACCGGGAAGUUGAUUAAACCUUACCAUUUAGAGGAAGGUGAAGUCGUAACA